UACGUAGGGUGCAAGCGUUAUCCGGAAUUAUUGGGCGUAAAGAGCUCGUAGGCGGUUUGUCGCGUCUGCUGUGAAAACUGGGGGCUCAACCCCCAGCCUGCAGUGGGUACGGGCAGACUAGAGUGCGGUAGGGGAGAUUGGAAUUCCUGGUGUAGCGGUGGAAUGCGCAGAUAUCAGGAGGAACACCGGUGGCGAAGGCGGGUCUCUGGGCCGUUACUGACGCUGAGGAGCGAAAGCGUGGGGAGCGAACAGG
RNAcentral lists this ribosomal RNA (253 nucleotides) under uncultured bacterium. RNAcentral's name for it is "partial 16S ribosomal RNA". It matches the Rfam family "Bacterial small subunit ribosomal RNA", at positions 524 to 776 of the family's 1533-position model. The record is from RNAcentral.